This 460-nucleotide ribosomal RNA is filed under the name uncultured bacterium. Its description in RNAcentral is "partial 16S ribosomal RNA". It matches the Rfam family "Bacterial small subunit ribosomal RNA", at positions 28 to 523 of the family's 1533-position model. The record is from RNAcentral.
GACGAACGCUGGCGGCAUGCCUAACACAUGCAAGUCGAGCGAGUUGAUUCCUUCGGGAUGAAGCUAGUGGCGAACGGGUGAGUAACACGUGGGUGAUCUGCCCCUUGGUUCGGAAUAACACAGAGAAAUUUGUGCUAAUACCGGAUGAUGACGAAAGUCCAAAGAUUUAUCGCCGAGGGAUGAGCCCGCGUAAGAUUAGGUAGUUGGUGGGGUAAAGGCCUACCAAGCCGACGAUCUUUAGCUGGUCUGAGAGGAUGAUCAGCCACACUGGGACUGAGACGCGGCCCAGACUCCUACGGGAGGCAGCAGUGGGGAAUAUUGGACAAUGGGCGCAAGCCUGAUCCAGCAAUGCCGCGUGAGUGAUGAAGGCCCUCGGGUCGUAAAGCUCUUUUACCAGGGAUGAUAAUGACAGUACCUGGAGAAUAAGCUCCGGCUAACUCCGUGCCAGCAGCCGCGGUAA